Molecule: long non-coding RNA, 399 nt
Filed under: Oncorhynchus mykiss (rainbow trout)
Lineage: Eukaryota; Metazoa; Chordata; Actinopteri; Salmoniformes; Salmonidae
Description: lncRNA (ENSOMYG00000068469.1)
Source: RNAcentral
GUCUCAUUCUGCAUGGCACUGCAAGCCCUGCCCCUCUCAGGCUGCAGGCAUUGCUAUUGGACUGAGUUCUAGAUGGACAGGCAUUUCCUCCAGUAGCAAGAGACCGCUGGACAGCCCAGGGUCAGCAGCACACGUCUCCAGCUGUCUCUCUCGACAGGUGCUCUAAGGUGGGAGGACUGGACUAGGCCAGGGGGUGUUGCCUCUGUUGGUAGAGCAGCUGCAGCAGGUCUCUGCAUCAUCAGACCCCUCUGUCACCCUGUCCCUGAUCAAGUUUAUAUAAUGGAGCCUGAGAGAGAUAGACAACAGCACACAGGGUAUCUGUCUGAGCUCCGGCCUGCGCGCACCACUGAGGACUUUUUCCAUACAGCAGCUGUUCUUGUGAAUAGCCCCCCAGACUAG